GGGGGCGUAGCUCAAUUGGUAGAGCUCUCGCUUUGCAUGUGAGAGGUACCAGGAUCGAUGCCCGGCGCUUCCA
Ctenocephalides felis (cat flea) is the source of this 73-nucleotide non-coding RNA. The record is from the annotation of a RefSeq genome assembly. Lineage: Eukaryota; Metazoa; Arthropoda; Insecta; Siphonaptera; Pulicidae.